CCCCCGGCACCGGGAGCCAGCCCUGCCGGCAGCAUCCCGCGCUCUCCGGGGACACGUGGGGACACAAGGACCUGGGGACAUCGGGCACAAAGGAAUCGGGGAAUGUGGGGACUUAAGGACAAAGGGAUCUGGGAAAGCAGAGACAUCGGGAUCCAGGGACAUUGGACCGCGGGGAUUUGGGGACAAAGGGACCUGGGGCCAUCAAGAUGCAGAGACAAUGGGAUCUGGGAACAUGAGGAUGCGGGGACUUGGGGACACAGGGAUCUGGUGACACUGAGGCCACGGGGCCGGACAGGUGGCUGCCCCGUCCAUCUUUGUGCCGGAGCGGCACAUCCGGGGCGCAGCACAACCGCGCCGGGACGGCGCCGCGGGGAUGGCGCUUCCUCCGGCAAACCGCAGCCGGCUGGCCCCGCGUCCCCGGGGAGCUACCCACGGCAGGGCCCGGCGCCGAGCGCGGGGUCCCCGGGGAGCUACCCACGGCAGGGCUCCAAGGGACCCCACGCUCCCCCCACAGCCGGCUCCCCGCCAGCCCCCGGGAGCGCGGCGAUCCCGCUGCUGCAACGAGAUGGAGCUGCCGCCAGCAGCGUCCCCAAACGCUCCGGGGACACAGGGUCGGUCUCUCGGGUACUGCUCCCCGGGAUGGAGCAGGGAUGGGGCCCCGCAGGUGGCGGACACGGAGGAGGAGCCGUGGCGCUGCCGGGAAGCCCAAGGCUGUUGCCGAAGUCUGGGAGGAGCAGAGGAGGCCCGGCCUCGCUGGGUGCCUUGGGGCGACCCCGGGGAGGCCAGGACAGGGGGGUGCUGGUGAACCCCCCAACAAGGAGAGGGUCUGGCAGAGCAGAGCCACAGCCAGGACCAGCAGCGGGGUCCCCUCACCCACCUCCUCCCACAUAGGGACCUCUCAGCCCCAGGGGAGCCCAAACAUACCCAUAUUGCCCCCAAGAGAGCCCAAAUAACCCCAAAACCCCCUCAAAACCCCAACCUUUCACUACCCCCCUUCCCACAACAUCCUCCAUCCUUCCCAGCUACCCCAAAGCCCCCUCCCCCCAUAACAACAACCCCAUGGACCCCCUCGCCCUCCACCCUCUCCAGUGAUUCCCAGAGCCCCUUUGCCAGCCCCGGGGGGGAACUCACUCCCCGCUCCCCGACCUCCAUCGCCCCCCUAAAACUCCCCAAACCCC
Molecule: long non-coding RNA, 1178 nt
Filed under: Corvus moneduloides (New Caledonian crow)
Lineage: Eukaryota; Metazoa; Chordata; Aves; Passeriformes; Corvidae
Description: lncRNA (ENSCMUG00000016979.1)
Source: RNAcentral